GAUGAAGAACGUAGCGAAAUGCGAUAAGUAAUGUGAAUUGCAGAAUUCAGUGAAUCAUCGAAUCUUUGAACGCACAUUGCGCCCGCCAGUAUUCUGGCGGGCAUGCCUGUUCGAGCGUCAUUACAACCCUCAGGCCCCCGGGCCUGGCGUUGGGGAUCGGCGGAGCCCCCCGUGGGCACACGCCGUCCCCCAAAUGCAGUGGCGGUCCGCCGCAGCUUCCAUCGCGUAGUAGCUAACACCUCGCGACUGGAGAGCGGCGCGGCCACGCCGUAAAACACCCAACUCUUCUGAAGUUGACCUCGAAUCAGGUAGGAAUACCCGCUGAACUUAAGCAUAUCAAUAAGCGGAGGA
Molecule: unclassified non-coding RNA, 351 nt
Filed under: soil metagenome
Description: partial contains 5.8S ribosomal RNA, internal transcribed spacer 2, and large subunit ribosomal RNA
Rfam family: 5.8S ribosomal RNA (bases 1-120)
Source: RNAcentral